Molecule: long non-coding RNA, 847 nt
Organism: Lolium perenne
Lineage: Eukaryota; Viridiplantae; Streptophyta; Magnoliopsida; Poales; Poaceae
Source: RefSeq, a predicted model, not a curated record
ACCCUCAUAGCUAUUCAGAUCGGGACCCCCACUGCGCCGCCAGUGCCCCCGGGCCGUCCACGCCGCGCCAGCGCCCCGGCUUUUGGUCGCGCCGCCCGCGACCGACGCUUCCCCGCCGGCGACUGGUCGAUUCCGCCGCCACCACUUCGUCGCGCAUCCCCCGCGACCGACAGUAGCUCGCCGCCUGGUCCCCGCACUGUGCGGCCGCCCCCGCGACACACACUGCCCCGCCCCCGGUGUAUUCCACUGCCCGCCGCCGCCCGGUUCUGCCGUUGGUGGCCGUCUGAAGCCGCCGCCUCCUGGCUGCUGACCCGAUCGGCCAUCUCCGCCUUCACCUGUGCGGUCGACCUGAGCUGAUAUGAUAAAGAUGUAUCUAAGCAUGAUGGUUUGAUAAUGGCAGGUUUGGAUGAUGGAUGCUAGUGGAGAUCAUGGGCAUGAGAGUCCUUUGUCCGAAAGUAAUUGUUCCCAAAGGUGCUCCAUCUAAGAAGAGAAUGAAGCCAUUUCAUGAGACAAUCAGGGAGUCUGUAAAGCGCAAGAGGGGAGAUCCAGGCGAUGCAGCGAAUGUGGCAAUCUGAACCAUGACAUUCGCAAAUGUCCUGAUCUGGGUAGAGGUUUAACUUGUUGCUCCAUGGAAAAGUCGGCGAAAGCAAAAAUUUCUGGAAGAACAUGAUCAUGGUUAUUGUGUUCCAAAUGUAAAUUGUGGGAUCGAAAUUGAUGCUUUCUUACUCUGUUAGCAACAAAUGGAUAUUCUGUAGACUUGGUGUUGAGAUUUUUAUUUGUAACAGUAAACUUGGUGGUUGGUGAAUGGAUUUCGUUUGGGAUGUGUUCAAAUUAUUACCUCUCAGCA